This 492-nucleotide ribosomal RNA is filed under the name uncultured bacterium. RNAcentral describes it as "partial 16S ribosomal RNA". It matches the Rfam family "Bacterial small subunit ribosomal RNA", at positions 29 to 507 of the family's 1533-position model. The record is from RNAcentral.
AGUGAACGCUGGCGGUAGGCCUAACACAUGCCAGUCGAACGGCAGCACAGUAAGAGCUUGCUCUUACGGGUGGCGAGUGGCGGACGGGUGGGGAAUACAUCGGAAUCUACUUUUUCGUGGGGGAUAACGUAGGGAAACUUACGCUAAUACCGCAUACGACCUACGGGUGAAAGCAGGGGAUCUUCGGACCUUUCGCGAUUGAAUGAGCCGAUGUCGGAUUAGCUAGUUGGCGGGGUAAAGGCCCACCAAGGCGACGAUCCGUAGCUGGUCUGAGAGGAUGAUCAGCCACACUGGAACUGAGACACGGUCCAGACUCCUACGGGAGGCAGCAGUGGGGAAUAUUGGACAAUGGGCGCAAGCCUGAUCCAGCCAUACCGCGUGGGUGAAGAAGGCCUUCGGGUUGUAAAGCCCUUUUGUUGGGAAAGAAAAGCAGCAGGUUAAUACCCCGCUGUUCUGACGGUACCCAAAGAAUAAGCACCGGCUAACUUCGUG